This is an RNA transcript of Oncorhynchus keta (chum salmon), 5454 nucleotides long. It is a transcript of the gene named insulin-like growth factor 1 receptor, with no coding region annotated. The record is from RefSeq and is a predicted model, not a curated record. The transcript has 19 exons. NCBI's taxonomy places the organism in Eukaryota, Metazoa, Chordata, Actinopteri, Salmoniformes, Salmonidae.
GUGAGAGUAAGAUCUUGCGGUUCAAGUCCAACAGUACGAUGUCUAACCGUAUCAAAGUGACCUGGCAGCGCUACAGACCCCCAGACUAUAGAGACCUCAUCUCAUUCAUACUAUACUACAAGGAGGCUCUGCCAGGGGUGGAGGGUUAUCCUGGAGGGGUUAGGGGUGGAGGGGGUCUACUGUCAGGGGUCUAUAUCCCUGGACCCAUCAGUGCCUCUACUGUCUCUGCCAUCUACGUCAAGGCCAUCCUCUGGUGGGAUAGACACAUCCUGGGAGCCAAGAGAAGUAGCCUCAGAACCAGCCCCCUCAGUGGAGGGGUUCUACUGUCACCUCUCAAGCCCUGGACCCAGUAUGCCAUCUACGUCAAGGCCAUCACUCUGGUGGCAGAGGAUAGACACAUCCUGGGAGCCAAGAGUGAAGUAGUCUACAUCAGAACCAGCCCCUCAGGUAAAGGACAGGGGUGGAGGGGUUAUGCCAUCUACGUCAAGGCCAUCACUCUGGUGGCAGAGGAUAGACACAUCCUGGGAGCCAAGAGUGAAGUAGUCUACAUCAGAACCAGCCCCUCAGGCCAUCACCUGGUGGCAGAGGAUAGACACAUCCUGGGAGCCAAGAGUGAAGUAGUCUACAUCAGAACCAGCCCCUCAGCCAUCACUCUGGUGGCAGAGGAUAGACACAUCCUGGGAGCCAAGAGUGAAGUAGUCUACAUCAGAACCAGCCCCUCAGAGCCGUCCAUGCCCCUGGAUGUGAGAACAUACUCUAACUCCUCUACCAACCUGGUGGUCCGCUGGUCUCCCCUGCCUCCCCAACGGGAACCACACCUAUUACCUGGUCCGCUGGCAGCAACAGGCUGAAGACCGAGAGCUAUACCAACACAACUACUGCUCCUCAGAACUGAAGAUCCCGGUCCGUAUAGCUGCUACCGGGUUGACUGACAUGGAGGAGGACCUGAAGCCUACUAAACCAGACGUUGGUGGGGGACAAGGGGCCGUGCUGUCCCUGUCCUAAAUCUGUAGGAGACCUGGUAGGCAGAGGCAGCUGACGCUUCAUACAGAAAAGUCUUUGAGAACUUUUUACACAACUCUAUCUUUUACCCCCAGACCUCCAGACCGGCGCCCCGGGAGUCUAGGUUUGAGCGUGGCCAACCAGGUUUGACCAUCCACCGUGGUGUGACCACCUACCCUAACGCCACGUCACCUGACCUUUGGGCCAACGCUACAGAGGCGGAGUUAGCGUUUGACAGGGAGUAUGAAGCAGGUUUGGGCAGUCAGCCUAUGAGCUGCAGAUAUCCGGUCUGCAGCCGUUCACGGUUUACAGGAUCCUAUGAACGCCUGUAACCAACAGGUGAAAUGCAGCGGCAGAGUUCGGUCUAAUCUUCUCCAGGACCAAACCUGCAGAGAAGGCGGAUGACAUCCCAGGCCCAGUGAUCUGGACUGGAGAGGAUGAUUCUGUGUUCCUCCGCUGGCCUGAACCCUCGUCCCCCAACGCACUCAUCCUCAUGUAUGAGAUCAAGUUCAGACUGGGCACUGAGUCAGAGAAGCAUGAGUGUGUGUCUCGCCAGCUGUAUCGAGAGCAGCAUGGUGCCAGGCUCAGUAACCUUGGACCUGGUAACUACUCUGCCCGGGUCAGAGCCACCUCCCUGGCUGGCAACGGAUCCUGGACUGAACCCAUCUCCUUCUACGUGGUACAGGCCCAACGUAAGAUCUCAUCAUCACCCACUAUUCAACACUACAUAACUACGUCUCUCAUGGGGGAAUUCACUUUCACCAUCACAACAGGAAGAAGUAAUGACAGACUGGGGAAUGGAGUUCUGUAUCACCUGAUAGAGACAGACAGGAAUUGUCUGUUAACCCUCUCCUCUCCUCCAGUGUAUAUACCAGAUGAAUGGGAGGUGUUGAGGGAGAAGAUCACGAUGAACAGAGAGCUGGGUCAGGGGUCGUUUGGCAUGGUGUACGAGGGCGUUGCUAAGGGAGUAGUCAAGGACGAGCCAGAGACGUGUGUGGCCAUUAAGACGGUGAACGAGUCUGCCAGCAUGAGAGAGAGAAUAGAGUUCCUCAAUGAAGCUUCUGUCAUGAAGGAGUUCAACUGUCAUCACGUGGUGCGUCUGCUGGGUGUGGUUUCUCAGGGCCAGCCCACCUUGGUCAUCAUGGAGCUGAUGACUAAAGGAGAUCUGAAGAGCCACCUGAGGUCACUACGGGCUAAAGAUCCAUCCCAGUCCUACAGUCUCAACCUCCCUCCUCUGAAGAAGAUUAUUCAGAUGGCUGGGGAGAUAGCUGACGGGAUGUCUUAUCUCAACGCUAACAAGUUUGUCCACAGAGACCUGGCCGCCAGGAACUGUAUGGUGGCAGACGACUACACCGUCAAGAUAGGUGAUUUCGGUAUGACCAGAGACAUCUAUGAGACAGACUACUACCGUAAAGGAGGAAAGGGGUUGCUGCCGGUCCGAUGGAUGUCCCCCGAGUCCCUUAAAGAUGGAGUGUUCACCACCACCUCUGAUGUCUGGUCUUUUGGGGUGGUGUUAUGGGAGAUAGCCACACUAGCAGAGCAGCCCUACCAGGGGAUGUCCAAUGAGCAGGUGCUGCGCUUCGUUAUGGACGGAGGACUGCUAGACAAACCAGACAACUGCCCAGACAUGCUGUUUGAGUUAAUGCGUUUGUGUUGGCAGUACAACCCUAAGAUGCGUCCGUCGUUUCUGGAGAUCAUUAACAGCAUCAAGGAGGAGCUGGAGCCACCGUUCAGAGAGAUGAGUUUCUUUUACAGCGAAGAGAACAAGCUUCCAGACACAGAGGAGUUAGACAUGGAGGUAGAGAACAUGAAGAAUGUUCCUUUAGGCCCAGCUGCCUCUUCACGGCCCCCAUCCCCUGCCCCCCCACCAGCUCCGGGUCCGCCCUGCCCAACCAGCCCCCUCCUCCCCCCUCCCCAACAGACAUCAGCCUCCACGGCCCCUGACGGUCCAUUAACGCUGGGCUCCACCCCCCCUUCAGCCCCGUCCUCUGGGCAGGUUCAGCCCCAGGCUCCCUCGUCCCCCUGCUCCCCAGCCCUCGGGGCCACCAGCCAGGCCUGCUGCUCCCGAGUGGCCCCUGGCCCCUCCUCAGCCCAGAGCUCAGGGGCUUCAGGACAGGUGGAGUCCAACGGCCCCGAGGCGGUCGCCCAGGUCCUGCUGCGACCAGCCUUCAAUGACUCACCGCCCUACGCACACAUGAACGGAGUGAGGAAGAAGGAACGUGCCAUGCCCCUCCCACAGUCCUCGGCCUGCUGAUCCUAGUGGACCUCUCUCCAUCCCUCAUCCCUCUUUUCUAAAGAGCUUGGUGGACUCCUCUGUGGUGGGACUCCUCUGUGGUGGGACUCCUCUGUGGUGGGACUCCUCUGUGGUGGGACUCCUCUGUGGUGGGACUCCUACUUUUUCAUUUUGUUAUUGUAUUGACAUUUCUAUCAACUGCCUGAUAUAAAGCACCUCCUGCUGAGGCCUGCUGGGAGGACCCUGAACCACAACCUGAACAACAGUGUUUUUUACAUAUAUUCCUUUAGGCCCAGCUACCUUUAUAUAUAAAACGCAAGUCCGUUGUUCAGGAAGGUUUCUGCUACCAGUCAAAAGUUUGGACACACCUACUCAUUCAAGGGUUUUUCUUAAUGUUUACUAUUUUCUACAUUGUAGAAUAAUAGUGAAGACAUCAAAACCAAAAAAAAGCCUAAAAAAGUGUUAAGCAAAUCAAAAUAUAUUUGAGAUUCUUCAAAGUAGCCACCCUUUGCCUUGAUGACAGCUUUGCACUCUUGGCAUUCUCUCAACCAGCUUCACGAGGAAUGCUUUUCCAACAGUCUUGGAAGGAGUUCCCACAUAUGCUGAGCACUUGUUGGCUGCUUUUCCUUCACUCUGUGGUCCAACUCAUCCCAAACCAUCUCAAUUGGGUUGAGGUCGGGUGAUUGUGGAGGCCAGGUCAUCUGAUGCAGCACUCCAUCACUCUCCUUCUUGGUCAAAUAGUCCUUACGCAGCCUGGAGGUGUGUUGGGUCAUUGUCCUGAUGAAAAACAAAUGAUGGUCCCACUAAGCCCAAACCAGAUGGGAUGGUGUAUCGCUGCAGAAUACAUCACACCACCUCCUCCAUGCUUCACGGUGGGAACCACACACCAUCACACCACCUCCAUGCUUCACGGUGGGAACCACACAUGCGGAGAUCAUCCGUUCACCUACUCUGCAUCGCACAAAGACACGGCCGUUGGAACCAAAAUUCUCAAAUUUGGACUCAUCAGACCAAAGGACAGAUUUCCACCGGUCUAAUGUCCAUUGGUCGUGAUUCUUGGCCCAAGCAAGUCUCUUCCUCCUAUUGGUGUCCUUUUGUAGUGGUUUCAGCAAUUCGACCAUGAAGUCCUGAUUCACAGUCUCCUCUAAACAGUUGAUGUUGAGAUGUGUCUGUUAGUGAGGCUGGUAACUCUAAUGAACUUAUCCUCUGCAGCUGAGGUAACUCUGGGUCUUCCUUUCCUGUGGCGGUCCUCAUGAUAACCAAAUUCAUCAUAGCGCUUGAUGGUUUUUGUGACUGCACUUGAAGAAACUUUCAAAGUUUUGAAAUGUUCCAUAUUGACUGACCUUCAUGCCUUAAAUUAAUGAUGGACUGUCGUUUCUCUUUGCUUAUUUGAGCUGUUCUUGCCAUAAUAUGGACUUGGUGUUUUACCAAAUAGGGCUAUCUUCUGUAUACCAACCCUACCUUGUCACAACACAACUGAUUGGCUCAAACACACAACUGAUUGGCUCAAACACACAACUGAUUGGAUCAAACACACAACUGAUUGGCUCAAAUGCAUUAAGAAGGAAAGAAAUUCCACAAAAAUAACUUUUGACAAGGCACACCUGUUAAUAGAAGUGCAUUCCAGGUGAUUACCUCAUGAAGCUGGUUGAGAGAAUGCAAAGCUGCCAUCAAGGCAAAAGGGUGGCUAUUUGAAGAAUCUCAAAAUGAAAAUAUAUUUUGAACUCUUUCUCUUUUUUGGGUUACGACAUGAUUCCAUAGUUUAGAUUUCUUCACUAUUAUUCUACAAUGUAGAAAAUAGUAAAAAUAAAGAAAAACCCUGGAAUGAGUAGGUGUUCUAAACUUUAUACAGGUACUGAGAUGGUACACUAUAUAUACAGUGUGUUUUCUAUUAGUUUUUCUAAAUAUCCCCAAAUGGAGACAGCCUUUCAGAGUGAUGGUUGGUUGGUUGGUUGGCUCACUGUGUAAUAUUGGGGGGCAUUAUUAUUAUUGUGAAUGUUAAAUGUUAAAUCUUCUGUCUGGAAGCCACGUCAACGGUCAAGCGCUGUCUGUCUCUGUGUCUGUGUUGUAUAACAGUGGAUGGACAGACAUGAUCCUCUCUGUUGGACUGGGACAAGAUGGUCUCCACUGAUGAUGAGUUGUCUGGUGUGAACUACAUCUUCUCCCUUUGUCUUGUCUGUGAUUGACAGGAAUCAUUCUGACACUAGUGUAAACUACGU